Molecule: long non-coding RNA, 1125 nt
Organism: Strigops habroptila (Kakapo)
Lineage: Eukaryota; Metazoa; Chordata; Aves; Psittaciformes; Psittacidae
Exons: 3
Source: RefSeq, a predicted model, not a curated record
GACGGCUAGGCUAGAGGGCAAGUUCAGGCUGGCCUGGGCCUGAGGCCGCUGCGGGCCUGGCGGCAGCAGUGACAAAAGGCCUGAGAAGCCCCUGAGGCAGCGGGUCGUGCCCGCGUUGUGCGCUGUGUUUGCUGGAUUGUGCACUAACAAAUCUGUGGCUGUCACAGUUGGUUCGAGUUUUCGGAAGCGGAGGCCUUCAGAGGGACGCCGCCUCUUAGGUGACACUGAGUGGAAAGUGGUACAAAGCCCUGAAACUGCUUCGCUGUGAAGUGCUGUGCGUUAGUGUCCGUAGCUCUGAAUCAAAUUGCAGCCGAAUGGCACCUGUGCAUAGAGAACUAAGUGACAGGAUAGCAGAAGAACCAAGGAAUGUGGCAUCAAAUCAGUAAAAAAAUGAUUAUGUAAUAGGAACAGUAUCACAUGUGCUCCUCAAAAACAGUAUUGCAGAAAAUAAAGAGGAUUUAAAGAAGAGUAGAGAGAAUGGUCCUAUCUAUAAAACCAGCAUACGCAGAAAUGGAAAAGUGAGAAUUUUUGCCAUACGUAGAAGAUAAAUAGGAGAUAAUCAGAUAAAAGUAUGCAUGGUGAUGAAUGAUGCAGAGAAGCAAACUGAAAUUUCGAUUACACUUACAUUAAAACAGGUAUAAAAUACCUUGUAAAUUAAAAGAGGAAAAUACAAGACUGAGGAAAUUCCUUUUUUCGGACAAUAUGUGAACAGGUCGUGGGACUCAGUGCCUCAGGAGCUUAUUAUGGCUGAAACAAUACCAUUUUUUAGACUUUCAUUUAUAUCUAGUUAGUGAAGUAUUGCAAGUAUUUUAGAAAGUAUUGGACUACUCAAGAACCUUUAAAAGCAAUUUCUUAGGACUGUGAAUAAAGUUUCCAAGAAGAACAUUAUGGUUUGUUUUUGAAAGCUCCUUUAAGGAUUGAGAAUGUAUUAUUAGAAGAUGGUCCGCAUUUUCUGCUCACAGACAACUACAUGGAAGCAAGUGGAAAGGUCCUGAGUUCAGUCCAAGCAGCAACUGAACCUAUGAGUUUUCAUUGCAAAGAGUUACAAACAUGUUCUAUAUGACUCAAGGCAUCUUGGCAUAGACCAUUCUACAGUGCCCAAGGAAUAAGGCGAGUAUUUGGUUU